UACAGAGGUCUCGAGCGUUGUUCGGAUUCAUUGGGCGUAAAGGGUGCGUAGGUGGUCUGGUAAGUCGGAUGUGAAAUCCCGGGGCUUAACCUCGGAACUGCAUUCGAUACUGCCGGACUGGAGUACUGGAGAGGAGAUCGGAAUUUACGGUGUAGCAGUGAAAUGCGUAGAUAUCGUAAGGAAGACCAGUGGCGAAGGCGGAUCUCUGGACAGUUACUGACACUGAGGCACGAAGGCCAGGGGAGCAAACGGG
Molecule: ribosomal RNA, 253 nt
Filed under: uncultured bacterium
Lineage: Bacteria
Description: partial 16S ribosomal RNA
Rfam family: Bacterial small subunit ribosomal RNA
Source: RNAcentral